UCCUCGAUAGCUCAGCGGUAGAGCAGCGGACUGUUAAUCCGUUGGUCGUAAGUUCGAAUCUUACUCGGGGAG
This 72-nucleotide transfer RNA is filed under the name Chlamydiia bacterium. Its description in RNAcentral is "tRNA-Asn". It matches the Rfam family "tRNA". From Rfam's summary of the family: Transfer RNA (tRNA) molecules are approximately 80 nucleotides in length. Their secondary structure includes four short double-helical elements and three loops (D, anti-codon, and T loops). The record is from RNAcentral. Lineage: Bacteria; Pseudomonadati; Chlamydiota; Chlamydiia. RNAcentral also lists the same sequence under 1 other name.